Molecule: ribosomal RNA, 770 nt
Filed under: Bacillus sp. (in: firmicutes)
Lineage: Bacteria; Bacillati; Bacillota; Bacilli; Caryophanales; Bacillaceae
Description: bacterial SSU rRNA
Rfam family: Bacterial small subunit ribosomal RNA
Source: RNAcentral
GGCGUGCCUAAUACAUGCAAGUCGAGCGAAUCGAUGGGAGCUUGCUCCCUGAGAUUAGCGGCGGACGGGUGAGUAACACGUGGGCAACCUGCCUAUAAGACUGGGAUAACUUCGGGAAACCGGAGCUAAUACCGGAUACGUUCUUUUCUCGCAUGAGAGAAGAUGGAAAGACGGUUUACGCUGUCACUUAUAGAUGGGCCCGCGGCGCAUUAGCUAGUUGGUGAGGUAAUGGCUCACCAAGGCGACGAUGCGUAGCCGACCUGAGAGGGUGAUCGGCCACACUGGGACUGAGACACGGCCCAGACUCCUACGGGAGGCAGCAGUAGGGAAUCUUCCGCAAUGGACGAAAGUCUGACGGAGCAACGCCGCGUGAACGAAGAAGGCCUUCGGGUCGUAAAGUUCUGUUGUUAGGGAAGAACAAGUACCAGAGUAACUGCUGGUACCUUGACGGUACCUAACCAGAAAGCCACGGCUAACUACGUGCCAGCAGCCGCGGUAAUACGUAGGUGGCAAGCGUUGUCCGGAAUUAUUGGGCGUAAAGCGCGCGCAGGUGGUUCUUUAAGUCUGAUGUGAAAGCCCACGGCUCAACCGUGGAGGGUCAUUGGAAACUGGGGAACUUGAGUGCAGAAGAGGAAAGUGGAAUUCCAAGUGUAGCGGUGAAAUGCGUAGAGAUUUGGAGGAACACCAGUGGCGAAGGCGACUUUCUGGUCUGUAACUGACACUGAGGCGCGAAAGCGUGAGGAGCAAACAGGAUUAGAUACCCUGGUAGU